CUAUCCUUAACUUUGAAUUUUAAGUUCAAACGUUAAGGACAUGAGGUCCUUAAGUUAAAGUACCAUAUUAAAAACGUAAUGACUGUCUGUCAUUAACUUUGAAUUUUAAGUUCAAAAGUUAAGGACAUGAGGUCCUUAAGUUAUAGUCUCAUGUUAAAAACUUGAGGACUGUCUGUCCUUAACUUUGAAUUUUAAGUUCAAACGUUAAGGACAUAGGUCCUUAAGUUAUAGUCCGAUGUUAAAAACUUGAGGACUGUUUGUCAUUAACUAUAGGAGUCCUUAAGUUUGAAAUACAAGUUCAAAAGUUAAGGACAUAAGGUCCUUAAGUUAUAGACCCAUGUUCAAAACUUAAGGACUGUCGGUCCUUAACUUUGAAUUUCAAGUUCAAAAGUUAAGGACAUUUGGCCAUUAACUUUGAAUUUGAAGUUCACUUAUACUU
Molecule: long non-coding RNA, 439 nt
Filed under: Nicotiana tabacum (common tobacco)
Lineage: Eukaryota; Viridiplantae; Streptophyta; Magnoliopsida; Solanales; Solanaceae
Description: long non-coding RNA (NTAB_LNC005014)
Source: RNAcentral